This 500-nucleotide ribosomal RNA is filed under the name uncultured bacterium. Its description in RNAcentral is "bacterial SSU rRNA". It matches the Rfam family "Bacterial small subunit ribosomal RNA", at positions 21 to 507 of the family's 1533-position model. The record is from RNAcentral.
GGCUCAGGAUGAACGCUAGCUACAGGCUUAACACAUGCAAGUCGAGGGGAAACGACAUCGAAAGCUUGCUUUUGAUGGGCGUCGACCGGCGCACGGGUGAGUAACGCGUAUCCAACCUGCCCACCACUUGGGGAUAACCUUGCGAAAGUAAGACUAAUACCCAAUGACGUCUCUAGAAGACAUCUGAAAGAGAUUAAAGAUUUAUCGGUGAUGGAUGGGGAUGCGUCUGAUUAGCUUGUUGGCGGGGUAACGGCCCACCAAGGCGACGAUCAGUAGGGGGUUCUGAGAGGAAGGUCCCCCACAUUGGAACUGAGACACGGUCCAAACUCCUACGGGAGGCAGCAGUGAGGAAUAUUGGUCAAUGGACGAGAGUCUGAACCAGCCAAGUAGCGUGCAGGAUGACGGCCCUAUGGGUUGUAAACUGCUUUUAUAAGGGAAUAAAGUGAGUCUCGUGAGAUUUUUUGCAUGUACCUUAUGAAUAAGGACCGGCUAAUUCCGUG